GAUGAAGAACGUAGUGAAAUGCGAUACGUAAUGUGAAUUGCAGAAUUCAGUGAAUCAUCGAAUCUUUGAACGCAUAUUGCGCUCUCUGGUAUUCCGGAGAGCAUGCUUGUUUGAGUAUCAGUAAACACCUCAACUUCCAUAUCUUUUUUGAAAUGGGAGCUGGACUUGAGUGAUCCCAACGCUUUUCCUCACCGAAAAGUGGCGGGUUACUUGAAAUGCAGGUGCAGCUGGACUUUUCUCUGAGCUAUAAGCAUAUCUAUUUAGUCUGCCUCAAAAACAGAUUAUUACCUUUGCUGCAGCUAACAUAAAGGAGAUUAGUUCUUGUGCUGACUGAUGCAGGAUUCACAAAGACAGCUUCGGCCGACUUUGUAAACUCGAUCUCAAAUCAAGUAAGACUACCCGCUGAACUUAAGCAUAUCAAUAAGCGGAGGA
This 432-nucleotide unclassified non-coding RNA is filed under the name soil metagenome. Its description in RNAcentral is "partial contains 5.8S ribosomal RNA, internal transcribed spacer 2, and large subunit ribosomal RNA". The stretch from base 1 to 120 matches the Rfam family "5.8S ribosomal RNA", at positions 35 to 154 of the family's 154-position model. The record is from RNAcentral.